Molecule: long non-coding RNA, 911 nt
Filed under: Homo sapiens (human)
Lineage: Eukaryota; Metazoa; Chordata; Mammalia; Primates; Hominidae
Description: HSALNT0369494
Source: RNAcentral
AGACUCUGCCUUCUAUCUCAAGUCUAGAAGGUAGAGAAUGCCUUGAUCCUCUUCAGGGGUAGUGGGGUACAUUUUUUAUCUUUCUUCUUUGCUACAGCAGGCCAUUUGCCUUUAUUCUGUGGGGAACAAGGUUAUGGGAAAAACUUCCUGUCCUUCUGACAGGAAAAGCCUCUCCCCAGGCUUUUACUUCUAAGAGAAGCAAUCUUUUUUCACAAUCUUUCUCACUGGAUCCAAAAAGGUCUGCAGAGAAGAUCCCAGAGAGUAGGAACCUCAGUGUCUGCAGCUUCUUCCUACGCUAGCUCAAACACGACAUUGAGCGAACUCCUCAAACAUUUGGCUGAAAUCUUGUUCACUAUUGGUUUCUCUCCCUCUCUUGCUCUUCCACAGGCAGCAAGUGCUCUCCUUCUGUUUUUCAUGCAUGUGGGAGUCUCCAGCAUUUACAUUAGAUUGAAACUUGAGUGUAUUAACAUCAUACAAAGCCUGAGGAUGCAUUAGGUCUGGCUUUGCAUUUCACUAAAUAUGACGUUGGGAAAUGCUGUUAAGACCACAAAAGAAGAAACAUGACCUUCACAACAAUAAAACAGUAUCAUACAUGCUGGUCAAAUACACUGAGCACUAGCAAGGGCUGAAAAUAUUGUUUUAAGCUAAGAGAUGUAAUUGCAAGAGUAACAGCCGUGGUGGCAGCAUCUGGAUCCUUGAUUGACAGCAUUAUGGAAAGUUACUGGCCAGAUACUCCUUACUUAAGUUGGCACCAAUCAACUUGCCUGGGGAUCAGUCAAAUGGGGUGAGGUGAGGGGGACUUCAGGAGAUCCUUCCCAGAUGGAUGCCAAAUUCCUUUGAUAGCCCUGUCAUUGUCAAGAAUUUCUUCAAGUUUAUGUGUAUAAGAAUAAAAUCUUGUUCAAGUUUAUGAU